This 859-nucleotide ribosomal RNA is filed under the name Methanomassiliicoccales archaeon. RNAcentral describes it as "partial 23S ribosomal RNA". It matches the Rfam family "Archaeal large subunit ribosomal RNA", at positions 1 to 902 of the family's 2987-position model. The record is from RNAcentral. Lineage: Archaea; Methanobacteriati; Thermoplasmatota; Thermoplasmata; Methanomassiliicoccales.
AACGGCAAUUUGUUAAGCCGUUUGGGGAAUCGCUCGGCUCGAGCGCCGAAGAAGGUCGUGUCAAGCUGCGAAAAGCGCCGGGUAGGUGCAAGAAGCCAAUGAUCCGGUGACCGCCUAAUGGGACUUCCUUGUCUUCGGACAGAUCCGGAAGGAUCGGGAACGCGGGGGAUCGAAACAUCCUAGUACCCGCAGGAAAAGAAAUCAACCGAGAUGCCGUCAGUAAAGGCGAUCGAACGCGGCACAGGGUAAACCGAAUGCCCCUUCGAAAGGAGGGGUAGAUGUGGUGUUGUUGGACUCAGGUACUUCCUCCUCGGUGAAUCAGAAGUCGACUGGAACGUCGCACCAUAGAGGGUGAUAGUCCCGUAGGAGCAAACUGAGUAGAAGAUUCUGAGUAUCCAGAGUACCGCGCGUUGGAUAUCGCGCGUGAAUCCGGGGGACACUUACCUCCAACCCUAAAAACGUCUCGAGACCGAUAGCGCAAUAGUAGCGCGAGUGAACACUGAAAAGUACCCUUGACGGGAGGUCAAAAGAGCGUGAAACCAGACGGCUAUAUUCAGAUACGGCAUGAAAGGGACGAAGCCGCAAGGCUGACCAGUGUCGUAUCGUCCGUUUCGAAUAACGGGCCAGGGAGUUCUGAUCGAUGGCGAGACUAAGGUCGAAGGACCGGAGUCGGAGGGAAACCGAAGGUCCGCAACGCCGCAAGGCGCCAGGGACUAGGUGCGCUCGCCUGGAGUCAUCGGUGGGAUACCCGAAGCCAGUUGAUCUAUGCCUGGAUAGGUUGAAGCCUCUCGAAAGGGAGGUGGAGGACCGAACCGGUAAUGAUGUGCAAAUCUUUCGGAUGAUCUGGGCAUAGGGGUGA